AUCCUGUCUGAAUAUGGGGGGACCAUCCUCCAAGGCUAAAUACUCGUAAUUGACCGAUAGUGAAUCAGUACCGUGAGGGAAAGGUGAAAAGAACCCCGAGAGGGAAAGGCGAAAAGAACCCCGGGAGGGGAGUGAAAUAGAUCCUGAAACCGUGUGCAUACAAACAGUCGGAGCGGACCUUGAUCCGUGACGGCGUACCUUUUGUAUAAUGGGUCAGCGACUUACAUUCAGUGGCGAGGUUAACCGAAUAGGGGAGCCGUAGAGAAAUCGAGUCCGAACAGGGCGACAGUCGCUGGGUGUAGACCCGAAACCAGGUGAUCUACCCAUGGCCAGGAUGAAGGUGCGGUAACACGCCCUGGAGGUCCGAACCCACUAAUGUUGAAAAAUUAGGGGGAUGAGUGUGGGUAGGGGUGAAAGGCCAAUCAAACUUCGAAAUAGCUCGUACUCCCCGAAAUGUUUUUAGGAACAGCCUGGCGGUUGAGUUAUUCAGAGGUAGAGCUACUAAUUGGGUGCGGGGGAGUCAAAUCCUACCAAAUCCAGAUAAACUCCGAAUGCUGGAUAACAUACGCUGGAGUGAGGCUCUGGGUGCUAAGGUCCAGGGCCGAGAGGGAAAGAACCCAGACCAUCAGCUAAGGUCCCUAAAUUACUACUAAGUUGAACUAACGAGGUCCGACUGCACAGACAGCUAGGAUGUUGGCUUGGAAGCAGCCAUUCAUUUAAAGAGUGCGUAACAGCUCACUAGUCGAGCGGUCGGGCAUGGAUAAUAAUCGGGCAUUAAACAGUAUACCGAAGCUAUGGAUUUACACUUUUAGUGUAUCUGGUAGGGGAGCAUUCUAUCGCCGGUGAAGCAUGACACGACAAGUGCAUGUGGAGGUUAUAGAAAAGCAAAUGUAGGCAUAAGUAACGAUAAGGCGGGAGAGAAACCCGCCCACCGAAAGACUAAGGUUUCCUGAUCAACGCUAAUCGGAUCAGGGUUAGUCGGGGCCUAAGGAUAAUCCGGGUGGAGAUUCCGAUGGACAACUGGUUAAUAUUCCAGUACUUUUUACAACUGCGAUGCAGUGACGGAGUAGUGACACAUCCGCGUCCUGACGGAAUAGGACGUUAAAGAUCGUAGGUAUAGGGAAUGUAGUAAAGUACGCAUUCUUUGCUGAAAAUUGAUAGUACAGCGAGCCUUCGGGUAAGUUGAUAGUGAUGGUAAUCAGACUUCCAAGAAAACCUGCUAAGCUUCAGGUUGUAAAAACCCGUACCGCAAACCGACACAGGUAGUCAAGGAGAGUAUCCUGAGGCGCUCGAGUGAAUCACGGCCAAGGAACUCGGCAAAAUGGCCCUGUAACUUCGGGAGAAGGGGCGCUUUCAGCAAUGGAAGCCGCAGUGAAAAGGCCCAGGCGACUGUUUAACAAAAACACAUGGCUUUGCAAAAUCGAAAGAUGACGUAUAAGGCCUGACACCUGCCCGGUGCUGGAAGGUUAAAAGGAGGGGUUAGCGCAAGCAAAGCCUCGAAUUGAAGUCCCGGUAAACGGCGGCCGUAACAAUAACGGUCCUAAGGUAGCGAAAUUCCUUGUCGGGUAAGUUCCGACCUGCACGAAAGGCGUAAUGAUUUGGGCGCUGUCUCGACAAUACAUCCGGUGAAAUUGAAGUGCCAGUGAAGAUGCUGGCUACCUGCGCCAGGACGGAAAGACCCCAUGGAGCUUUACUCCAGCUUGAUACUGGGACCCGGUAUUGCAUGUACAGGAUAGGUGGG
RNAcentral lists this ribosomal RNA (1741 nucleotides) under Thymallus thymallus (grayling). RNAcentral describes it as "bacterial LSU rRNA". It matches the Rfam family "Bacterial large subunit ribosomal RNA", at positions 431 to 2151 of the family's 2925-position model. Lineage: Eukaryota; Metazoa; Chordata; Actinopteri; Salmoniformes; Salmonidae. The record is from RNAcentral.